GAUAUUAGGAGCUGAAAAGGAGGGAAGGUGGAUUUCUUUGAUUUUUCCAGACGUCAUUGUUGAAAGGGCAUCACUACAGACCGUUUGAAGGACACGGACUAUAUCCAUUUGUUUUGUGACCUCUGCUGGCUACAAACCUGAGCACAGAUGCUUGACCUAUUGUGAGUAAGAAAGUCGUCUGUAAUGCAACCCCUCUUUGUCUUUACUUAAGAAAGAUAUAAACCACAAGCGGGUAGGAACAGAAGCAGCGUUUGUUUUCGUAGGCAAGUGUUCUACCCUGGUUCAGAACCCGUAAGCCCUGUCAGUCUGAUUUUGUUCAUUUAAAUUCCCUGAGUCGCUUUGUGAUGGCGGUGGGUACUCAGUGAGUCACCUAGGGAUUCUGAGGACGAUUACAGGCAGAACAAUACAGAGAUGCAUCGAGGUUCAGUAUAAAAUGCUAUGUCCCAUUCAUUAUAAGCAGACAUCUAUUUGGUCUUACAGUGGCUUUAUCCCUUGUGCAUCUUAUCGAAAUUCAGUCCUAAUAUGAUAGUUUUUAAUCUUUAAAUAGAAACGAAUUGGAGAGGAGUAAUGAGACACCAUUUGGGAUUGUUGGCAAUUUUAAAUGUUCAAAAACCAAAAUCACACAAGCAAGAGAACAGUGAGCCCCAUCCUGCUGACUAGAUGAUCUAGCCAGCAGUUGGUGCUGGCACCAAAUUAUUAGCCAGACUGG
This 709-nucleotide long non-coding RNA is filed under the name Mus pahari (shrew mouse). Its description in RNAcentral is "predicted gene 42912 (MGP_PahariEiJ_G0004525.1)". Lineage: Eukaryota; Metazoa; Chordata; Mammalia; Rodentia; Muridae. The record is from RNAcentral.